Molecule: ribosomal RNA, 253 nt
Filed under: uncultured bacterium
Lineage: Bacteria
Description: partial 16S ribosomal RNA
Rfam family: Bacterial small subunit ribosomal RNA
Source: RNAcentral
UACAGAGGUCUCAAGCGUUGUUCGGAUUCAUUGGGCGUAAAGGGUGCGUAGGCGGCGCGGUAAGUCGGGUGUGAAAUCUCGGAGCUUAACUCCGAAACUGCAUUCGAUACUGCCGUGCUUGAGGACUGGAGAGGAGACUGGAAUUUACGGUGUAGCGGUUAAAUGCGUAGAUAUCGUAAGGAAGACCAGUGGCGAAGGCGGGUCUCUGGACAGUUCCUGACGCUGAGGCACGAAGGUCAGGGGAGCAAACGGG